AGUCUCGCUGGACCCCUCGCGCCGACCUUGUAAACAGGCGGUUGUCGGUUCGAGUCCGACCGUCAGCUCCA
Molecule: transfer RNA, 71 nt
Filed under: Microlunatus capsulatus
Lineage: Bacteria; Bacillati; Actinomycetota; Actinomycetes; Propionibacteriales; Propionibacteriaceae
Description: tRNA-OTHER
Source: RNAcentral